AGACACUCCCAUGGCAUCUCAGGGCCAUGCAUCAUGAGGAACAGUAGAAUGAUUCCAUAUGAAUGGUAAAGCAAUGAUAAUAACUUGAUCCAAAGGAGCCUUCCAACUGAGGUCAAGCCAGCUGUUACUUGUAUGGUCAAAAACCAUGAUGGUACCUACAAGAUUCCACCCCACUCACUCUUCAAUGUCUGUGCAUCUAAUUACUCCUGGUUGUGAGACAAGAACUUGGACCUAGCUGAGCUAAAGAGCAGAAAGACCAUGACAUUUUGGUGGCCAGUAUGGGACUACCUGGAGGGUGA
This 299-nucleotide long non-coding RNA is filed under the name Homo sapiens (human). RNAcentral's name for it is "HSALNT0046530". Lineage: Eukaryota; Metazoa; Chordata; Mammalia; Primates; Hominidae. The record is from RNAcentral.